Molecule: long non-coding RNA, 108 nt
Organism: Mustela erminea (ermine)
Lineage: Eukaryota; Metazoa; Chordata; Mammalia; Carnivora; Mustelidae
Exons: 3
Source: RefSeq, a predicted model, not a curated record
AUUUUUGUCAAGUAGGCACCACACUCAAUGUGGACCCCAAUGGGGGACUUGAACUCAACGACCCUGAGAUCAAGACCUAAGCUGAGAUCAAGACUGUCUGAUGCUUAA